UUGUGAGGUUAAGCGACUAAGCGUACACGGUGGAUGCCCUGGCAGUCAGAGGCGAUGAAGGACGUGCUAAUCUGCGAUAAGCGUCGGUGAGGUGAUAUGAACCGUUAUAACCGGCGAUUUCCGAAUGGGGAAACCCAGUGUGUUUCGACACACUAUCAUUAACUGAAUCCAUAGGUUAAUGAGGCGAACCGGGGGAACUGAAACAUCUAAGUACCCCGAGGAAAAGAAAUCAACCGAGAUUCCCCCAGUAGCGGCGAGCGAACGGGGAGGAGCCCAGAGCCUGAAUCAGUGUGUGUGUUAGUGGAAGCGUCUGGAAAGGCGCGCGAUACAGGGUGACAGCCCCGUACACAAAAAUGCACAUAUUGUGAGCUCGAUGAGUAGGGCGGGACACGUGGUAUCCUGUCUGAAUAUGGGGGGACCAUCCUCCAAGGCUAAAUACUCCUGACUGACCGAUAGUGAACCAGUACCGUGAGGGAAAGGCGAAAAGAACCCCGGCGAGGGGAGUGAAAAAGAACCUGAAACCGUGUACGUACA
RNAcentral lists this ribosomal RNA (534 nucleotides) under Escherichia coli. RNAcentral describes it as "partial 23S ribosomal RNA". It matches the Rfam family "Bacterial large subunit ribosomal RNA", at positions 1 to 568 of the family's 2925-position model. The record is from RNAcentral. Lineage: Bacteria; Pseudomonadati; Pseudomonadota; Gammaproteobacteria; Enterobacterales; Enterobacteriaceae.